AUUUGAAUGAAUCUGUAUUUCUGUCAUAAUAAUAACAAUCUGUCUCUAAAUCUAUCUUAGUUUGUUAAUGUGAAUUUUUCAGUGUUCUGCCAAAGAAAAGCAUGGUCUAUCUACAAAUUACAUCUAUUUUUAUUCUUCUGUAUAUUUCAGUUGUUUUAUAAAUAACAAAAUGUUAGCUUUGCUAAUAUCUAACUGUCAGAAUACAUUAUAGGCGAUUUGGUGGGAUUUUGGAUACAGACAAUAAAAUUAUUUGUACAAAAUAGUUGGAAAAUUUGGAUAACAAUCAGAAUUUAGAUUUCUUGUCUCCUAAAAAUUGGUCUAAAAGGGUAGAGAUAUUUUUAAAUUCCCAAUAUUAAUUGAGUUCACAGAUUUACACAUGUUUUUUUUUUUUUUUUAUCUUUUAUGCAAACUACGCAUCACCUCCUUUUUUGGCAAGUUUAAGUAGUGCCAUGUUUUCCUGAAAGCUCUUGUGUAUUAAUGUUUUAACAAGUUUUUAAUGCUUUUUUCCUGAAGAAAAUAUCACUAGCAGUAUAUGGCUAGUUCUCAAGUAUCAAAACUCUUCCAAUACAUUUCUCACUAGCCUUUUGGCAAGUUAGCGGGCAAAGACUAAACACACCAAGCUUGGUACAACAUUGAUAGUACACAAUAGAUAAGAAAACUUGUUCAAUUUUUCAAGAUACAGUAAUAAGCAAUAUAACCAAGCAUGGUUGGAAAAUAAUGGUAUUUUCAAUGGUAUUUUCAAACACUGCACAUUAACCAUGAGAUUCAACUGCCAGGAGUAAUGAUAUAUGUGCAAAAUUGCGGAUUUUUAUUUAACUAAUUUUGAUACUAUCAAUAACAUUUAUUUCCCAUGAGGCAUGACUCUGCAGGUUUGAAUAAUCAACUCUUUAUAUCAGGCCUGUCAUUGGUCAAUUAUUUGAAGUCAUUCUUUCAACCAAUUUUAUAUAAUAAAAUACUUCAGUUCAAGAAACAAGUAUCAUUUGUGUCCUAUAAUGUCUUCUGUCCACUUCAUUUGAACUUUGGUUGAUGAUUCUCUCAUUGGCAAUCAUACCACAUCUCCUUUAUUUUUAUAUUAACACAAUAAACAUGGCAAUUUCAUGUUCCAGUAAGGGGCAUUGUUAAGAAAUCACAUUUAACCAUCUUCCAUUAUUAAUACAUCUACAUCAUGUUAUGGCAUUUAACUACAUGAUCUGCUUGUUAAUUUAUAUGUUUUGUUUUAUGUAUUAUACAUUCCAUGUUAAAAUGUUUAUUUUUGUUUUGUCUUUAUAUACAUUCCUUUGUUUUGUGAUUGGUUUAUGUUCUUGUUAACUUUAUUUGUGGUCAUUUGAUAUUUUUUCAAAGAGUAAUUUAUGUACUUGUUAAUUUUAUUUAUUUGUGGUUAUAAGAUAUUAUUUCCAAAAACUAUUUACAUAUAUCAUUUCUCUUUCAUUUGCUGAUGUAUUUUUCUGAAAGAUCUGUUAUGUAUAAAUGUCUUUUUUUUAAUAAGAUGCUUUUAGUAAGGCAUGGUGUAUUUUGCACUAUUUUAGAGGCAUUAAAUAUAAAUAAAUAAUCUAUUUGGACAGUGUUCACUACAUGUAUUAACUUGCAACUAGCAACAUGAAACUAUAUUGUCUGCCUACAUCAAAACAUGUAGUUUUUGCAAAUAUCACUUUUUAUUUACUUUAAAUUCUGAAAUGACUGUGACUUUCUAAUAACAUAGUAAUGUGAAAACUCACGCAGUAUGGGACUUAUAAUUUCAGUAGUAAAUUUCGUCAAAUUUUUAUUUGCAAUUGCAUAGAUUGGAUUUGGUCAAAGAUUUGCAAUAAGGAUUGCACACAUACAUUUCUGUUUCUGAAACUACAGUAAUUCAAGACCAUUUUAUAUUGCGAUGUUUCAAUAAAUUGACUUUUUUCUGGUUUAUUUUUAUAUUAACAUUUAGAGAAUCAAAUCUAGUAACAAAAGUUCUUUCUGUUAUUGUACACAUUGAUAUUUGAUUAAACGUCUUAUUGAAUAAGAAUGUUCUGUGAAAUGUGAAUGAGGGAUAAUUGGGGGAGAAAUUGAUGUAUGAUCUUAACUGUUGUUGCUAUAUAUAUUAUACAAAGACAAAAUAAAGUUGAUUAAUGUAUA
RNAcentral lists this long non-coding RNA (2106 nucleotides) under Mytilus galloprovincialis (Mediterranean mussel). Lineage: Eukaryota; Metazoa; Mollusca; Bivalvia; Mytilida; Mytilidae. The record is from RNAcentral.